This 86-nucleotide small nucleolar RNA is filed under the name Dasypus novemcinctus (nine-banded armadillo). RNAcentral's name for it is "Small nucleolar RNA SNORA31 (ENSDNOG00000043186.1)". The record is from RNAcentral. Lineage: Eukaryota; Metazoa; Chordata; Mammalia; Cingulata; Dasypodidae.
UUUCCAUUAUAGAUCAAGAAAAAGAAGGUCCUCGUUCUUUCUGUCUGUCUGGUGUGGCAGCCAAGAUUGAAUGGGGAAAUACAAGA